Molecule: ribosomal RNA, 490 nt
Filed under: uncultured bacterium
Lineage: Bacteria
Description: partial 16S ribosomal RNA
Rfam family: Bacterial small subunit ribosomal RNA
Source: RNAcentral
AUUGAACGCUGGCGGCAGGCCUAACACAUGCAAGUCGAACGGUAACAGGAAGAAGCUUGCUUCUUUGCUGACGAGUGGCGGACGGGUGAGUAAUGUCUGGGAAACUGCCUGAUGGAGGGGGAUAACUACUGGAAACGGUAGCUAAUACCGCAUAACGUCGCAAGACCAAAGAGGGGGACCUUCGGGCCUCUUGCCAUCGGAUGUGCCCAGAUGGGAUUAGCUAGUAGGUGGGGUAACGGCUCACCUAGGCUACGAUCCCUAGCUGGUCUGAGAGGAUGACCAGCCACACUGGAACUGAGACACGGUCCAGACCCCUACGGGAGGCAGCAGUGGGGAAUAUUGCACAAUGGGCGCAAGCCUGAUGCAGCCAUGCCGCGUGUAUGAAGAAGGCCUUCGGGUUGUAAAGUACUUUCAGCGGGGAGGAAGGGAGUAAAGUUAAUACCUUUGCUCAUUGACGUUACCCGCAGAAGAAGCACCGGCUAACUCCGUG